Molecule: ribosomal RNA, 497 nt
Filed under: uncultured bacterium
Lineage: Bacteria
Description: partial 16S ribosomal RNA
Rfam family: Bacterial small subunit ribosomal RNA
Source: RNAcentral
GACGAACGCUGGCGGCGUGCCUAAUACAUGCAAGUUGAGCGCUGAAGGUUGGUACUUGUACCCACUGGAUGAGCAGCGAACGGGUGAGUAACGCGUGGGGAAUCUGCCUUUGAGCAGGGGACAACAUUUGGAAACGAAUGCUAAUACCGCAUAAAAACUUUAAACACAAGUUUUAAGUUUGAAAGAUGCAAUUGCAUCACUCAAAGAUGAUCCCGCGUUGUAUUAGCUAGUUGGUGAGGUAAAGGCUCACCAAGGCGAUGAUACAUAGCCGACCUGAGAGGGUGAUCGGCCACAGUGGGACUGAGACACGGCCCAAACUCCUACGGGAGGCAGCAGUAGGGAAUCUUCGGCAAUGGACGAAAGUCUGAACGAGCAACGCCGCGUGAGUGAAGAAGGUUUUCGGAUCGUAAAACUCUGUUGGUAGAGAAGAACGUUGGUGAGAGUGGAAAGCUCACCAAGUGACGGUAACUACCCAGAAAGGGACGGCUAACUACGUG